ACGAAGCUUUCUCAUCAACCACUUCUUUCGCAGAGCGGGGUGCAAUGCUAAAAACAUCCUGGCUCUCUUCUCAUCCUCCAAAAGGUCAAUGGCAUCCAGUAGUAAAUCAUCAUCAAUGUCCGGUAUAGCCUUUAAGACAUCAAUAACUUUCUCUAUGGAUACAGAUGCCUCUUUCUUCAGUUUCUUCUUCAACGGUGACUCUGCAACUGCCAUAUCUCCUAGAGCAUUGGCCGCAACUCCAUCCGUUCUUUGUGGUUUCUUAGACUGGUGUAAGGUUUGUGUGACAUCGUGACUGUGCCUUUCCUUUUGAUCUGAUAAAUUCUUGACAUCACUUGAAUCCAAUGCUUUUUUCUGAACAUUUUGUUUGUCAACAAUAGGUGUAGCAUCUCCGUCAAUUUUCUUAGCAAAGGUUCCCUUGUCAAGAGCUUCAUUGCAGCUUGAUGGAACUUCUUUCAAAAGUCUAGCCUCAUUUCCGCAUAUGACACACAAAUCGGAAUAAUAUGGCAUAGCUUUAUUUCUGUACAUGUGGAAACUGGGAUGUGCCUGCGUUUAUAACAAAGUAAGGUACGAGCAAUAGAAUGUCUCCAUUAAAUUCCUGAUCAAGAACAAUUAAAGUAUACCUCUAUAUAUUUGUUCCAAACCGGAUCAUCAGCUACCACCUUUUGUUGUGUUUCAUCCCAAGUAAAACCCUUUUGAUCAAGCAGGGCGUUAACGCUACUGUAAUGUUUCCUGAGGACAUUGUACCGAUUUUUCAAUACAGCCCUACCAUGCUGAAACCCGAAUUUCUCAUUAAAGCAUGUGAUCAUGGUAAUCCAUGAUUUCUUCUUGAAAGUGCAACCAACCUUAUUCCCUUUGCGCACUUCAUCCAACAUUAGUUCAACGAAAAAUUGGUCCAUAAUCUGUGACCAGUCAAUUUUUUUAGGAUCAGCAUCAGUGGGAUCUUGAAAUUCCAUUCCUCUUGCUACAAAAUUUGAGAAAAUUACAGACAAUAUUUCAAUGCAUUUGCACAUAUUUAUCAAACAGAAAAUUAGCUUUGCCAAAUUGACAUCAAUUAAUAACGAUUUCCCACACAAUAUGUACCUUCGUUCUCAAAGUCCAUAUCGUAACAUGAAAGACUGUAUCUUCCAUCAGCAACUGCAUGGCCACAUAUUAUGCACAACUCGUCAUAAUGCGAAAUGACUUUUGUUCUGUACGGUUGCAUUUCAGGGUGGGCCUGCAUAGAACAUGUGCAACCUAAUAUAACUCUCGUGUGUGGACAGUAAAAUUUAAAGAUUAAACGGUGUACCUUGAUAUAAUUAUUCCACACAUUAUCGUC
Molecule: long non-coding RNA, 1315 nt
Filed under: Malus domestica (apple)
Lineage: Eukaryota; Viridiplantae; Streptophyta; Magnoliopsida; Rosales; Rosaceae
Description: long non-coding RNA (MDOM_LNC013684)
Source: RNAcentral